AGCAGUGAGACAAAUCCAACUGAAUCUCUGACAGUUUUUCUUUCACAGUGUCACGCAAGAGUAGAAAACACUUUUGGAGUUAUUGCGAUGCGAUGAGAUCCAAACGAACAUAUGAAGGAGUGCGAUGUCUUGCUGCAAUACUGGAUCAAGCCACGAGAUAGAGACAACGCGGUCUCCGUGAGGAAUCAAGGUGUGGUGGGGUCAUGUUAGGCUAUAGGUCUGGCUCUGGUCCAGCUCACCAUAUGAGGAGUAUGCAGAGAAGAGGCUGCACUCAUUUCACGCGCUGCUGUAAUUAGACCAGUGCAGGGAAAUAUAAUUACUGCAGACCUGCUCAAAGGGCGCAAAUACUGUAGAUACACUGAGCAUGAAGACCUGCAGCACCUGUAUGGUGAGCCUGACCACCUCCUCUGUCCUGCCUGCUCAGCAGCAGCCAUUUAUGGCUGUGAGAUGAUCAAUGCAGGAGCAUGCUGCCCAUUCAUCUCAGCUAACUGACCUGCCAGAGUGCAAAAAGGGCAUACUGAAAAACGAAGCCUGUCCUGGCAAGCACAGUCACUGGAUGUUGUCAUGAAGACAACCUCAAAGCCAUGUACGCAUUUAAUUGACAAGCCAUAAACACCUGCAGGUGUAAGAAGUGCAACUUCUAUCGAUUUCUUUUGAACUGGGGCCAAGCCGCAGGGACUCUGAGGUUGAUAUUAGGGAUCUGCCAUCCUCCCACUGAGUGAUCCACCCGUCCAAGUAGCUGUCACAUUUAGUCUGAACGAAUGCUCUUCUUGUGGGCUGAUUAAUUACUGUGUGUAAGAGGUUAUCCUGUAAUCAUCACUGCGAGGUCCCAGAGACAAAGACACUACCACAGUAAGUUCCUCAGCUGUGGAGACGGCGGCCAUUAAUCAACAAACCACACACUCGACAUGUAAGGAUUAGUCCUUGACGACGAAGAUAAGUAAAUAAUUGUGAUAUAUUUUACAACAACCACUUCUGAAGUGACGCCUUUAAUUAACUGCUAUAAAUUAUAGAGCAUGUUGUUCACAUUGAGGCAGAGAAAAGAAACUGAAUCCUACCAGCUUGAAAAGGUGCUAUUCUGAGGAUGACCCUCUGAUUGCCUCACAAUCCCCCCAUUAAACGAUAG
Molecule: long non-coding RNA, 1126 nt
Organism: Perca fluviatilis (European perch)
Lineage: Eukaryota; Metazoa; Chordata; Actinopteri; Perciformes; Percidae
Exons: 3
Source: RefSeq, a predicted model, not a curated record